Triticum aestivum (bread wheat) is the source of this 135-nucleotide non-coding RNA. The record is from Rfam. NCBI's taxonomy places the organism in Eukaryota, Viridiplantae, Streptophyta, Magnoliopsida, Poales, Poaceae.
GAACUACUCCUUCCGUCCGAAAAUACUUGUCAUCAAAAUGGAUAAAAAGAGAUGUAUCUAGAACUAAAAUACGUCUAGAUACAUCCUUUUUUAUCCAUUUUGAUGACAAGUAUUUCCGGACGGAGGGAGUACAUU